RNAcentral lists this ribosomal RNA (253 nucleotides) under uncultured bacterium. RNAcentral describes it as "partial 16S ribosomal RNA". It matches the Rfam family "Bacterial small subunit ribosomal RNA", at positions 524 to 776 of the family's 1533-position model. The record is from RNAcentral.
UACGGAGGGUGCAAGCGUUAUCCGGAUUUACUGGGUUUAAAGGGUGCGUAGGUGGAUUUGUAAGUCAGUGGUGAAAUCUCCGAGCUUAACUCGGAAACUGCCAUUGAUACUAUAAGUCUUGAAUUAUCUGGAGGUAAGCGGAAUAUGUCAUGUAGCGGUGAAAUGCUUAGAUAUGACAUAGAACACCAAUUGCGAAGGCAGCCUACUACGGAUAUAUUGACACUGAGGCACGAAAGCGUGGGGAUCAAACAGG